Molecule: long non-coding RNA, 1739 nt
Filed under: Anas platyrhynchos platyrhynchos (common mallard)
Lineage: Eukaryota; Metazoa; Chordata; Aves; Anseriformes; Anatidae
Description: lncRNA (ENSAPLG00000028067.1)
Source: RNAcentral
UGUCUUAAUUUCUUGUUCUGUUUUCUUUGUUUAUUUUCCUUAUUCUCUCUACUUUCUUUACAGUGGUUGUUAUUUCUUUAUCUUGCUCUCUGCUUUCCCUCUCUGUAUUUUAUUUCUUUCCUUAUUUCUUUCUUAUUUUCUCUUAUUUUAUUUUUCUCUUUAUUUUCCCCUCUAUCUUCUUUCUUUCUUUCUUUCUUUCUUUCUUUCUUUCUUUCUUUCUUUCUUUCUUUCUUUCUUUCUUUCUUUCUUUCUUUCUUUCUUUCUUUCUUUCUUUCUUUCUUUCUUUCUUUCUCCCUCUCCCUUUCUUUUCUUUUUUUUCUCUCUCUUUCUUUCAAUUUCUUUCUUUCCAUUUCUCUUUCUUUCUUUCUUUCUCUCUCUCUCUCUCUUUCUCUCUCUCUCUCUCUUCUCUCUUUCUCUCUCUCUCUCUUUCUCUCUUUCUUUCUCUUUGUUUGCCUUUCUGUCUCUCUCUCUUUGAUUCCCUUUCUCUCCCUUUCCCUACCUUGCCCUAGCCCUUUCCAUUUGUCUCUCUGCCUUUCCCUUAUUUCCCCCUCUCCCCCUCUCCUCUCCCCCAGGACCCUUUCUCUCCCCACCUAUGACCAAUUUGGCCCCUGGCCCCCUCCGCCUGCAGCUCGGUUCCCUGUUCCCGGGAAGGGAAAGGAAAAUAAGGGCAGGGAAAGGCAGGGAAAGGCGCUCCCGAGGUGCGAGCGCUAAUUCCCCCGCACACCCGCACCUCUGCUCGUCCCCGCGGCUUAGCAUCAAUGGGGGCAUCUCCCCAAAUCAGGGCACCACGGACGCCAGAUUUCGAUGCGGUUUAAGGGCUCAGCACCGUGCCCCGACGGCCCCUCUGGCUGCUCUCCCCGUCCCACGCGUGGAGGAACACGGGGGGGCCGGGGCUGCUCCUGGCCAGGGCACCCGGGUCUCCCCCGGCCCCCACCCGCAGGAGCUCCGCGCCCCUCGCUGGGGUCGGAGCAAAAUCCCUGAGCCCGGGGGUCUCCGCCUGGGAGAAGUCCCCGCGGGGCUCUGAGCUUCCCAGUUAGGUCGUUUCCAGAGGGGAAACGAAUAAUUCUGUAAGGAGAAUUUUUACACGGUAAGCUGGCCCUGGGGCAGCAUCUUUCCUCGCAGGUAGCCCCCCAAAAUCUGCUGGAGAAAGGCGCUGGACGCCCCUUUCUGGAAAAGAAAGGCAGAAGCUCCCUCUUUCACGGUUUUUACCGGGGUUAGAUGCAAAAUGGUUUUGCACGUUUUAAGAACUGGAAUUUAAAGGAGAGUAAGAACGCGGAGCUGAGGGUGUUCUGCAAAACGUGCUGCGACGUUUUAUGGUUCAGCGAGAGAUUUGGAAAACAGGAAAAACAAAAUAAUGCAUGGGUUCGUUGUUCGAAUUUUUAGAGAGAUCUGCGCAGUGGUAUUGUUUUUUUUGGUUUUGUUUUUUUUUUUGAUUUUUUUUUCAGAGAUUUCUUCCCCUUUCCUUCCCCGACUUUCACACACGUACACCCCCUUCCCCAAAAAACAGACGAUGGAUGUCCCCGUCCCCACUAUCAGCCUGAUUCACUCAAAAGCAGCUGCUUUGCUGCAGAAGCCCUGUAACUGCAGGGCAUAAUCCUCUGCUCCGGAAAGCCUUCCCACCUUGGGUCGGGUGCUUCAGGCAUUUACCGAGCACCUUUCCCGAGGAUGCCAACCGAGCUCGCUGCUCCCUGAAGAAUAUUUUUGAAAACCUCCCCCCAAGCCCUCCAAUAAAAAAAAAU